GACGAACGCUGGCGGCGUGCCUAAUACAUGCAAGUUGAGCGAUGAAGAUUGGUGCUUGCACCAAUUUGAAGAGCAGCGAACGGGUGAGUAACGCGUGGGGAAUCUGCCUUUGAGCGGGGGACAACAUUUGGAAACGAAUGCUAAUACCGCAUAACAACUUUAAACAUAAGUUUUAAGUUUGAAAGAUGCAAUUGCAUCACUCAAAGAUGAUCCCGCGUUGUAUUAGCUAGUUGGUGAGGUAAAGGCUCACCAAGGCGAUGAUACAUAGCCGACCUGAGAGGGUGAUCGGCCACAUUGGGACUGAGACACGGCCCAAACUCCUACGGGAGGCAGCAGUAGGGAAUCUUCGGCAAUGGACGAAAGUCUGACCGAGCAACGCCGCGUGAGUGAAGAAGGUUGUCGGAUCGUAAAACUCUGUUGGUAGAGAAGAACGUUGGUGAGAGUGGAAAGCUCAUCAAGUGACGGUAACUACCCAGAAAGGGACGGCUAACUACGUG
Molecule: ribosomal RNA, 497 nt
Filed under: uncultured bacterium
Lineage: Bacteria
Description: partial 16S ribosomal RNA
Rfam family: Bacterial small subunit ribosomal RNA
Source: RNAcentral